Molecule: ribosomal RNA, 762 nt
Filed under: uncultured bacterium
Lineage: Bacteria
Description: bacterial SSU rRNA
Rfam family: Bacterial small subunit ribosomal RNA
Source: RNAcentral
AACAGGAUUAGAUACCCUGGUAGUCCACGCCGUAAACGAUGUCGACUUGGAGGCUGUUCCCUUGAGGAGUGGCUUCCGGAGCUAACGCGUUAAGUCGACCGCCUGGGGAGUACGGCCGCAAGGUUAAAACUCAAAUGAAUUGACGGGGGCCCGCACAAGCGGUGGAGCAUGUGGUUUAAUUCGAUGCAACGCGAAGAACCUUACCUACUCCUGACAUCCAGAGAAUUUAGCAGAGAUGCUUUAGUGCCUUCGGGAACUCUGAGACAGGUGCUGCAUGGCUGUCGUCAGCUCGUGUUGUGAAAUGUUGGGUUAAGUCCCGCAACGAGCGCAACCCUUAUCCUUUGUUGCCAGCACGUAAUGGUUGGAACUCAAAGGAGACUGCCGGUGAUAAACCGGAGGAAGGUGGGGAUGACGUCAAGUCAUCAUGGCCCUUACGAGUAGGGCUACACACGUGCUACAAUGGCGCAUACAAAGAGAAGCGACCUCGCGAGAGCAAGCGGACCUCAUAAAGUGCGUCGUAGUCCGGAUUGGAGUCUGCAACUCGACUCCAUGAAGUCGGAAUCGCUAGUAAUCGUAAAUCAGAAUGUUACGGUGAAUACGUUCCCGGGCCUUGUACACACCGCCCGUCACACCAUGGGAGUGGGUUGCAAAAGAAGUAGAUAGCUUAACCUUCGGGAGGGCGUUUACCACUUUGUGAUUCAUGACUGGGGUGAAGUCGUAACAAGGUAACCGUAGGGGAACCUGCGGCUGGAUCACCUCCUU